GCCCAUGGACAGCACAGCUUGUGCUUUGGAAGUGCCACUGGGGGCUCUCCCAAAUGGUGUCUCCCAGAUUUCAACCCUGGGUCCUGUGUUAUGUGGAAGCGUGCAGCAAUCUGGUCUGGAUGAAGAAAAUACCUCAGAAAGCCCAAGAGGAAUUUUUGCUUUGACAGUUUCUCUCAUGAGAUUUUUUCCACUUUCUAAUAAAAAAAUGAUUUAA
This 214-nucleotide long non-coding RNA is filed under the name Lonchura striata (white-rumped munia). RNAcentral describes it as "domestica (Bengalese finch) lncRNA (ENSLSDG00000010700.1)". Lineage: Eukaryota; Metazoa; Chordata; Aves; Passeriformes; Estrildidae. The record is from RNAcentral.